AUCUACGGCCAUGCUACCCUGAACAAGCCUGAUCCUGUCUGAUCUCAGAAGCUAAGCAGGGUCAGACCUGGUUAGUACUUGGAUGGGAAGACUGCCUAGGAAGACCAGGUGCUGUAGUCU
RNAcentral lists this ribosomal RNA (120 nucleotides) under Pteropus alecto (black flying fox). The record is from RNAcentral. Lineage: Eukaryota; Metazoa; Chordata; Mammalia; Chiroptera; Pteropodidae.